UGCAAGUCGAACGAGAAAGGGUCUUCGGACCUGAGUAGAGUGGCGCACGGGUGAGUAACGCGUAAGUAACCUGCCCCUUUAUCUGGGAUAACAGUGCGAAAGUGCUGCUAAUACCGGAUACGUUCACUGAUCGCGAGGUUGGUGAGGAAAGGUGACCUCUUCAUGAAAGUUACCGUAGAGGGAGGGGCUUGCGUACCAUUAGCUUGUUGGUGGGGUAACGGCUCACCAAGGCGACGAUGGUUAGCGGGUCUGAGAGGAUGAUCCGCCACACUGGAACUGAAACACGGACCAGACUCCUACGGGAGGCAGCAGUGAGGAAUAUUGCGCAAUGGGGGCAACCCUGACGCAGCGACGCCGCGUGAGUGAAGAAGGCCUUCGGGUUGUAAAGCUCUGUCGGAAGGGAAGAAAUGUGCAGCGGUUAAUACCCGUUGCAUUUGACGGUACCUUCAAAGGAAGCACCGGCUAACUCCGUGCCAGCAGCCGCGGUAAUACGGAGGGUGCGAGCGUUAAUCGGAAUUACUGGGCGUAAAGGGCGCGUAGGCGGCCGAUCAAGUCAGGUGUGAAAGCCCACGGCUCAACCGUGGAUGUGCAUUUGAAACUGGUUGGCUUGAGUAUCGGAAGGGGAGAUGGAAUUCCCGGUGUAGAGGUGAAAUUCGUAGAUAUCGGGAGGAAUACCGGUGGCGAAGGCGAUCUUCUGGACGAAUACUGACGCUGAGGCGCGAAAGCGUGGGGAGCAAACAGGAUUAGAUACCCUGGUAGUCCACAGCUGUAAACGAUGUGCACUAGAUGUAGGGGGGAAUUGACCCCCUCUGUGUCGUAGCUAACGCGAUAAGUGCACCGCCUGGGGAGUACGGCCGCAAGGUUAAAACUCAAAGGAAUUGACGGGGGCCCGCACAAGCGGUGGAGUAUGUGGUUUAAUUCGACGCAACGC
RNAcentral lists this ribosomal RNA (931 nucleotides) under uncultured Desulfobulbaceae bacterium. RNAcentral's name for it is "bacterial SSU rRNA". It matches the Rfam family "Bacterial small subunit ribosomal RNA", at positions 56 to 962 of the family's 1533-position model. The record is from RNAcentral. Lineage: Bacteria; Pseudomonadati; Thermodesulfobacteriota; Desulfobulbia; Desulfobulbales; Desulfobulbaceae.